Passer domesticus (house sparrow) is the source of this 445-nucleotide long non-coding RNA. RefSeq lists it as uncharacterized. The record is from RefSeq and is a predicted model, not a curated record. The transcript is spliced from 3 exons. NCBI's taxonomy places the organism in Eukaryota, Metazoa, Chordata, Aves, Passeriformes, Passeridae.
GGCACAACCGCCUCACCUCCCCACAAAACCGUUCAAUCGCAUUUCUCUAAUGGGGGGAAAAGACAGAAAAAUAGAGAGUAAAAGUCAUGACAUUUCCAGGGGAAAAGUUUCAUCAUGUACCCAGAGCUGGUCCUGUGAAAAGCUCCAGUGAAGCAGACAAAUAUUUAAAGCAUGCAAAACUAGCAAGGGUGGAAUGUUCAAGGACGGAAGAGUCAGCACAUGCAAAGCAACUUUUUACCUGGUGAAGGAGAGGUACAACAAUAUCCAAAUAAUCAAAAUAGGACUCGAGAAAUGUUUCUCCUUCCCCCACUGCUGGACACCAGAAAUAGCUCAAAAAUAGAGGAAAUGAUGACUCUAAAGCUCAGUUUUGAGCCAAUGUACUUUCAAAACUUCAUGCACUACAGCUUCUACAACCACAUCAUCUUCAGGAGACCAGGCUGUCAAA